RNAcentral lists this ribosomal RNA (208 nucleotides) under uncultured bacterium. RNAcentral's name for it is "partial 16S ribosomal RNA". It matches the Rfam family "Bacterial small subunit ribosomal RNA", at positions 568 to 774 of the family's 1533-position model. The record is from RNAcentral.
AGCGCAGGCGGUCUUUUUAAGUCUAAUGUGAAAGCCUUCGGCUCAACCGAAGAAGUGCAUUGGAAACUGGGAGACUUGAGUGCAGAAGAGGACAGUGGAACUCCAUGUGUAGCGGUGAAAUGCGUAGAUAUAUGGAAGAACACCAGUGGCGAAGGCGGCUGUCUGGUCUGCAACUGACGCUGAGGCUCGAAAGCAUGGGUAGCGAACA